RNAcentral lists this ribosomal RNA (869 nucleotides) under uncultured archaeon. RNAcentral describes it as "bacterial SSU rRNA". It matches the Rfam family "Archaeal small subunit ribosomal RNA", at positions 35 to 912 of the family's 1478-position model. The record is from RNAcentral.
GGAUGAACUAAGCCAUGCGAGUCAUUGUAGCAAUACAAGGCAGACGGCUCAGUAACGCGUAGUCAAUCUACCCUAUGGACGGGAAUAACCUCGGGAAACUGAGAAUAAUGCCCGAUAGAACAUUAUACCUGGAACGGUUUAUGUUUCAAAUGAUUUAUCGCCGUAGGAUGGGACUGCGGCCUAUCAGUUUGUUGGUGAGGUAAUGGCCCACCAAGACUAUUACAGGUACGGGCUCUGAGAGGAGUAGCCCGGAGAUGGGUACUGAGACACGGACCCAGGCCCUAUGGGGCGCAGCAGGCGAGAAAACUUUGCAAUGUGCGAAAGCACGACAAGGUUAAUCCGAGUGGUUUCUGCUAAAGAAACCUUUUGCUAGUCCUAGAAACACUAGUGAAUAAGGGGUGGGCAAGUUCUGGUGUCAGCCGCCGCGGUAAAACCAGCACCCCAAGUGGUCAGGAUGAUUAUUGGGCCUAAAGCAUCCGUAGCCCGUUUUGUAAGUUCUCGGUUAAAUCCAUACGCUCAACGUAUGGGCUGCCGGGAAUACUGCAUAACUAGGAAGUGGGAGAGGUAGACGGUACUCGGUAGGAAGGGGUAAAAUCCUUUGAUCUAUUGAUGACCACCUGUGGCGAAGGCGGUCUACCAGAACACGUUCGACGGUGAGGGAUGAAAGCUGGGGGAGCAAACCGGAUUAGAUACCCGGGUAGUCCCAGCUGUAAACUAUGCAAACUCAGUGAUGCAUUGGCUUGUGGCCAAUGCAGUGCUGCAGGGAAGCCGUUAAGUUUGCCGCCUGGGAAGUACGUACGCAAGUAUGAAACUUAAAGGAAUUGGCGGGGGAGCACCACAAGGGGUGAAGCCUGCGGUUCAAUUGAGUC